This 497-nucleotide ribosomal RNA is filed under the name uncultured bacterium. RNAcentral describes it as "partial 16S ribosomal RNA". It matches the Rfam family "Bacterial small subunit ribosomal RNA", at positions 28 to 507 of the family's 1533-position model. The record is from RNAcentral.
GAUGAACGCUGGCGGCGUGCCUAAUACAUGCCAGUCGAGCGAACAGACGAGGAGCUUGCUCCUUCGACGUUAGCGGCGGACGGGUGAGUAACACGUAGGUAACCUACCUAUAAGACUGGGAUAACUUCGGGAAACCGGAGCUAAUACCGGAUAAUAUUUCGAACCGCAUGGUUCGAUAGUGAAAGAUGGCUUUGCUAUCACUUAUAGAUGGACCUGCGCCGUAUUAGCUAGUUGGUAAGGUAACGGCUUACCAAGGCAACGAUACGUAGCCGACCUGAGAGGGUGAUCGGCCACACUGGAACUGAGACACGGGCCAGACUCCUACGGGAGGCAGCAGUAGGGAAACUUCCGCAAUGGGCGAAAGCCUGACGGAGCAACGCCGCGUGAGUGAUGAAGGUCUUCGGAUCGUAAAACUCUGUUAUUAGGGAAGAACAAACGUGUAAGUAACUGUGCACGUCUUGACGGUACCUAAUCAGAAAGCCACGGCUAACUACGUG